AUCGCACCCCCUUGCAGCCACUUUCUCCGCAGACUCAGCCUUUCUCUGAUCAUCUAGGGUUUGAAAGCAAACUCGUGCGAAGCGUCACCAUGAGAGCUAAGUGGAAGAAGAAGCGUAUGAGGAGGUUGAAGAGAAAGCGCCGAAAGAUGAGACAGAGAUCCAAGUAGUUCUUCUUUUCAAUGGAUCGGCGUUCGUUUUCUUUAUUUUCCGUUUGUUUUGACUUUUAUUGUUACCUAAUUAGUACCGAUCAAUGCGCAAUAGUGGUUUUCUAGUCGGACAAAUUUUUGUUAAUUUCAGUCUGUUUGUAGACCUUAUUAUUAUGAGCUAUUGAAACCUGUUUUCUUCAAUUGCUUCUCAUAUCUUUUGGGUUUUCAUGAAUCUCUUAUGGUUAUGUUAAAUGUGGUUUGGUAUGUAUGGCGCAUCGUAAUGGGAAUGCUUGGUACAUGUUUGUUUCUGGGUUUAA
Morus notabilis is the source of this 463-nucleotide long non-coding RNA. RefSeq lists it as uncharacterized. The record is from RefSeq and is a predicted model, not a curated record. Lineage: Eukaryota; Viridiplantae; Streptophyta; Magnoliopsida; Rosales; Moraceae. The transcript has 2 exons.